This 211-nucleotide long non-coding RNA is filed under the name Mytilus galloprovincialis (Mediterranean mussel). Lineage: Eukaryota; Metazoa; Mollusca; Bivalvia; Mytilida; Mytilidae. The record is from RNAcentral.
ACAAAAACUCGGUAAAAUGCCAAUAUUUUUCAUCUAAAUAGAAUCAUAACCAGGUCACUAUAGUCUUUCAUAAUGAAAAAAAAACCUUACCAUAAAAUUAAAAAAAAGAAACAAUACAACUACAAAAAACAUAGAAAGGAAAAAUACAACAGCAACCAAUAACAACCACCACCUUGCAGGUUCCUCUGGUAUCUUUCAUCCCUCUUUCAUG